GGCUUGUGGCUCAGUGGUAGAGUACUCACCUAGCAUGUGCAAGGUCCUGGGUUCGAUCCUCAGCACCA
Molecule: transfer RNA, 68 nt
Filed under: Marmota monax (woodchuck)
Lineage: Eukaryota; Metazoa; Chordata; Mammalia; Rodentia; Sciuridae
Description: tRNA.Ala
Source: RNAcentral